UUCCAUGUGAGGAAUUGUAAACAACUUCUUGGAUUGAAAUAUCUUGGAAAUAUAUGAAACAGCACGAAAGACUUGAAAGGGUUAAAUCAGGAACCAUUCUGUAGACAAUCAGAAUUCAGAGUCCUUAACGGAUCUGCCAGGUGCAGACAGAGGGUCAACUUCAGGUCAACUUCAAAGACAACAAGUCUCAUUUCAGCAAAGUCAGGAGCAGGAGAUUUGGGACAUGUGACUCUAAACGUGUGAAACUUCCAAUCAUUUUAAAGAACAAUGUUUGAGUGGGAGGGGUUACGUUAGAAAGCGCGGUGGAUACAGCGUAGAGACCGGUAGAGAUACAGUGUGAGCCAGAGGAGCGCGGCUGUUUUACGUUGUCAUAGUGUUUGAGACAGUUUGGAAGAGAGCGACUUUUAUGUGCAACGCGUGCGAAAUUCAGGAUGCAAAAGAUACCAUUGACAGUCUGCACGUGAACAAGAACUGCAAGAUUUGCUGACCUCAAAGUAAUCUGAAGAGGAAGCUCUCCUUUGGCAGCAGAGUACUUCAUGCUUUCUGUGGACC
Long non-coding RNA from Perca fluviatilis (European perch), 552 nucleotides. RefSeq lists it as uncharacterized. The transcript is spliced from 3 exons. The record is from RefSeq and is a predicted model, not a curated record. NCBI's taxonomy places the organism in Eukaryota, Metazoa, Chordata, Actinopteri, Perciformes, Percidae.